UGCUCUCGUACAAAAGCGCACGCUGCAGCAGCACAGUGACAUUCUUGCCAUCACUAUCUAACACCUUCGAGCAAUCAGCCACGGCCUUCUUGUACUCUCCAACCUCCUUGUAGCACGAAGCCCUGCAGGUCAGGACCUCACCCGCAGCUGCACUGUCUCCGGUUUUGUCAAAAAGCACGACUGACCAAGUAAGCCACUUAAUAGCAUCAGCAUACUGCCCCUGCUUGUAAUGAUCCAUCCCCUUGGUUUUCGCUGACGAAGCCGUGACUCCUGCCGGAGGCGGGGGCAACCCUUCCAGCUCAGUCGUCG
Molecule: unclassified non-coding RNA, 309 nt
Filed under: Hevea brasiliensis (rubber tree)
Lineage: Eukaryota; Viridiplantae; Streptophyta; Magnoliopsida; Malpighiales; Euphorbiaceae
Source: RNAcentral